CUGGCUUAGGAGUUGGACUUCAAACCCUCAGCCCUCCCUCUAAGACAUAUCUCUUGGCCCCAUACCAUCAGUACAAAUUGCUACUAAAAACAUCCUCCUUUGUAAGUGUAUUUACCUAAUAUUUGGAAUCACACCUUGAAUAUGCAAAAUACUUACCGGACAGAAUGGAUGAAAACUCUACCUCAGUUCUAAGCAUAUCUUCUCCUGAUUUGGAUUAAAAUCUUCUGAACCACAUGCAGAAACAAACCAGGAAAGUUGUGAGAACCCACAGAUCCUCCGAAAGAAGCAGAUUGCUCCUGCAAGACCUGGGAAACACCCCAAAUAUUGUCUGUCUCUCCAGUGGAUGCCACAGAAACAUGCAGAGCCAACUAUAAUAGAGUGUGGUCACUGCCUUCAUGACAGAACUGAACAGCGUUAUGAAGAAAAGAGGCAUUGAUUCUACUUCAGUGGGGCCAGUGCUGGGCAGGAUGGUGAGAAGAGAGAGAGAAGAGAAACUCAGAAGAAUUAUA
This is a long non-coding RNA of Piliocolobus tephrosceles (Ugandan red Colobus), 509 nucleotides long. RefSeq lists it as uncharacterized. The record is from RefSeq and is a predicted model, not a curated record. The transcript has 5 exons. Lineage: Eukaryota; Metazoa; Chordata; Mammalia; Primates; Cercopithecidae.